Juglans microcarpa x Juglans regia is the source of this 2147-nucleotide RNA transcript. RefSeq lists it as uncharacterized. The record is from RefSeq and is a predicted model, not a curated record. NCBI's taxonomy places the organism in Eukaryota, Viridiplantae, Streptophyta, Magnoliopsida, Fagales, Juglandaceae. The transcript has 16 exons.
UUCGAGGUUCAACAAAAACCGAAGCCCUUGUUCGGUUGUUCCCUUGUGGGAGCUUCGUCCGUACAUCACCGAGAAAAUGGAUGUGUCCCUUCGAGUCCAAAGACUCGAAAAUCUUCCUUCAUCCAUUGAAUUCGAGUCUCUCACCGAAUCCCGAAAUGUUCCUGCUGUAUUUACUGGAUGCAUCAAGGACUGGAAAGCCUUGGCUAAGUGGAAUCCAUCGAAUGGUGGCCUCGACUAUUUGCAGGAAUGGGUAGGGUCGUGUACUGUGGAGGCAAUGCUAACAAGAUCCGCGCCUGUCUUUUAUGGUGAUCUGAGAAGUCACGAGAGGGUUCCAUUACCGUUUUCUACCUUCAUUGAUUAUUGUAAGCAACGGAAGCAAAAGACAGAUUGUGGUACUGACAGCGAGCCUAAAGAAGAUGCUUCUGAACAAAUCUAUUUAGCGCAGGUACCGAUUAUGAAUGCUGACAAUGAGGAAAGGGUUCAGUUGGCAUCUCUGAGGGAAGAUAUUGAAGUGCCUGUAUUUUUGGAGAGGAGAGUAAUUGCUUCUAUCAACCUGUGGAUGAACAAUGCUAACUCUAGAUCAAGUACUCACUAUGAUCCUCACCACAACCUUCUAUGCAUAGUUGCUGGCUGCAAACAAGUUAUCUUAUGGCCUCCUUCUUCUAGCCCCAUGUUAUACCCAAAGCCAAUAUAUGGGGAGGCCUCAAAUCAUAGUUCUGUUGGUUUAGAAAAUCCUGAUUUUUCAAUUUAUCCGAGAGCAAAAUGCUCCAUGGAGUACUCGCAGAGGGUUGUUCUUCAUGCAGGUGAUGCACUUUUCAUUCCUGAAGGCUGGUUCCACCAAGUAGAUAGUGAUGAUUUGACCAUUGCUAUUAACUUUUGGUGGCAGUCAAACAUGAUGUCUCGCAUGUCAGAAGACUCAGAACAUAUGGAUGCAUAUUAUUUGCGCAGAAUAUUGAGAAGAUUGACAGACAAAGAGAUGGACCAUGUGCUAAGUAAGAUGCCUUCUACUGGAAUGGGGAAAAUAAAGAGGCAAUUAACCAAGCUGCCCAGCAAUGGAAAAGUAGAUCAUCUUGAGAAUGAAUUGGAUCAGGCGUUUGAGAAGACAAUUUUGAAAGGGAAAGAACUGCAGCAUGGGAAUAUGCUGCAUGAGCUGGAACCUGUUGCUCUCCAGGUGCUUCAUGAACUUGUUUCUCUGGUUCAUGACCAUGUUAAGGUUUCUGAUCAGUGUCAACCAGCACAAUCCACUUCAGUAAAUGAUUCUGAUUCCGGAGUGAAAGGUGAAAACAAGAAAGUUGUGACAGCAAAUUUAUUUCAUUUGGAAGAUGAUCGGGUUGCUAAAAUUCUUUGGACCCUUGAAUCAAGUGUGCUGCAGCAUGUAUUUCUUAAUAUGGCGCACAACUUCCCAAGAACUUUAGAGGCUCUAAUACUUCAUAUGCUUUCACCGGUGGGGGCAGAAGUUCUUACACGGAAAUUUGAUGAGAUGGAUCAACAGAUCUCUGAGGAAGAUCGGAAUAAAUUCUACCAGGCCUUUUAUGGUGCAUUUGAUGAUCAGUUUACUGCAAUGGACGCCAUUCUAAAUGGCAAAGAGUCAUUUGCCCUCCAGGCAUUCAAGAACGUGUUGGAUAAAUAUAUGGGGGUAAACUUAGAUGGACCAAAGUCAGGGAUUAAAUGAUUCUUGUAACAACUUUCCCGGCCAGUAACUCAGGAGAGCAUCUCAUUCAUGUUCACAGAUGUUUAAGGAGAGAAGGCUACAAUGAGGAGAAAUUGGUGGUGGACCCAUUACACAUUGCCAGUGGCCUCGUUCAAAAUUAGACACCCUUGGGUUAUGGCUAGAAGUAUGGAGUUUGUGAUGGAAAAGGCUAUUAAUAAUUAGUAACUUUGUGAAAAUCUACCUGUGUUUGUUUAAUGUGUUAUUAUGUGGUAAUCCUCUCUUGAAGUUUGUGGUAAAGGCUAAAGAGAGUUCUGUAUGGGGAUUUGAGACUGAAGGGGAAAAGAAAAAGGGGGAGAAAAGCAUGAAAAAGAAGGUUUGGUAAUUAUUAGGGUUGGAAGGGAGAACGAGGCAAAAGGGAAGGUUUCAUGAAUUGAGAUUCCCUGACGGGGAAGAUGACAUAUGAAAGUGUUCUUGGGAGAGGAAGAGGGUGGGAGGG